This 496-nucleotide long non-coding RNA is filed under the name Ananas comosus (pineapple). RNAcentral's name for it is "long non-coding RNA (ACOM_LNC023669)". The record is from RNAcentral. Lineage: Eukaryota; Viridiplantae; Streptophyta; Magnoliopsida; Poales; Bromeliaceae.
CGUUUCAGAUAAUCCAAUCGUUUCAGAUAAUCCAACGUCGGAAUCAGCAACCGACACCAUCAAAUAUAAUUUAAAGCAUUUGAAGUGCUUAGAAAUCACAUUUCAUAAUUUUUCAAUUUCACUACGAAGUGCAUCGAAAAUGAACGGCUAAAAACAAACAAUGCCGUGAAAAUAGAGAUUAUAGCUUCUUUAUGCAGGAACCGGGUUAUCAGGCGUGACUAAGGUAAUGAAAAGAACUUUUCUUAAAAAAUUCAAUCGAUUUAAAUCGUUUUACAGCGUAACCGAGUAAACGGCUUACAUAGACCAUCAAAAAUUAUCAAAAAUGAGUUCAUUCCAUCAUAGCAUAACCGACUUUAAAAAAUCACCAAAUUUAGUUCCAAAGUAGCUAGUUCGAAUGCUCUAGAUCAAAUUUAACUAUGUCAAUCAUCGAUUCAAAUUUUGAGUCAACGAAAACAACUUAAUAAGACAAAUGGCUUUGACCAAUUAAUAAAAUAGU